GACGAACGCUGGCGGCGUGCUUAACACAUGCAAGUCGAACGGAAAGGCCCUGCUUUUGUGGGGUGCUCGAGUGGCGAACGGGUGAGUAACACGGGAGUAACCUGCCCUUGACUUUGGGAUAACUUCAGGAAACUGGGGCUAAUACCGGAUAGGAGCUCCGGCUGCAUGGUGGGGGUUGGAAAGUUUCGGCGGUUGGGGAGGGACUCGCGGCUUAUCAGCGUGUUGGUGGGGUAGUGGCUUACCAAGGCUUUGACGGGUAGCCGGCCUGAGAGGGUGACCGGCCACAUUGGGACUGAGAUACGGCCCAGCCUCCUACGGGAGGCAGCAGUGGGGAAUAUUGCACAAUGGGCGGAAGCCUGAUGCAGCAACGCCGCGUGCGGGAUGACGGCCUUCGGGUUGUAAACCGCUUUCGCCUGUGACGAAGCGUGAGUGACGGUAAUGGGUAAAGAAGCACCGGCUAACUACGUG
Molecule: ribosomal RNA, 468 nt
Filed under: uncultured bacterium
Lineage: Bacteria
Description: partial 16S ribosomal RNA
Rfam family: Bacterial small subunit ribosomal RNA
Source: RNAcentral